RNAcentral lists this transfer RNA (66 nucleotides) under Centrocolumna ericea. Its description in RNAcentral is "tRNA-Leu". Lineage: Eukaryota; Metazoa; Arthropoda; Insecta; Blattodea; Blattellidae. The record is from RNAcentral.
UCUAACAUGGCAGAUAAGUGCAAUGGAUUUAAGCUCCAUAAAUAAAGUAUUACACUUUUAUUAGAA